Molecule: long non-coding RNA, 453 nt
Filed under: Fukomys damarensis (Damara mole-rat)
Lineage: Eukaryota; Metazoa; Chordata; Mammalia; Rodentia; Bathyergidae
Description: lncRNA (ENSFDAG00000029706.1)
Source: RNAcentral
UUUUCUUUUGUAUUUCAAGUACCUAUUCACUCUUCACCCCAUAUGCUUCUGUGGAGUUAGUUUUGUAGAGUGUUCUCUUUUUUUUCCCCAGCAUUGGAAUUCGAACUCAAGGCCUUGAGCUUGCAAGACACUCGCUGAGCUACUGAGCUAAAGCUCUGGCCCUCUGGAUUGUUCUUUUUCAACAGUGAGGCACAUCUAGGAAGAAGGUUGAGAAGAAAGAUUCGCAGUUAACAGGUGCUGGGUUUGGGAAAGUCAGAACCAGCUCAACUGUGGUGAGAGAUUCAGGAGAUGGGUCCAAAAUCUGUUGCUGACAGACAGAAGCUGGUCUGUUAAACUCACUGCAUAUACAUCUCACCCAGGAAACAGAGUUUCUAUAGUGGCUGAAGGUUUGAUCGGGGACCCAUGAAGAUGUUAAUAUGGAAAGAACUUACAAUAGAGAUAUUUGUGCUUGGG